GUAUAACAAUUAAGCAUUGGUUGAUUUUCGCCACUUGGAAUUAAAAAUUUACGUAACAAACUUCCUUCAUGCAAAGAGGUGUGAACAUUGGAUUAGAACUCGUACACACUGGACAAACAAAUUAGUCCCCACAUCAACUAACUCAAGUUCCAAACUCAUAGGCUAGCUAGUUAUAACCAACACUUAUAAAUACCACUCAAUAUUAACAAGAGAAAACAUCCCAACAGCACCCAAGUAUCUUGUACUACUACUUUUUCAAAACUCAUCUGCCAUCACUUUUAUUACCAAAAUGGCUGAAGAGAAGAAGCACCACUUCGGUCUCUUCCACCACAAGGACAAGGAGGAAGACAAAACUACCUAUGGAGAAACUCCAUAUGGUGGUGAUACUGAAAAAACUACCUAUGGAGAGAAUACAUAUGAAGAGAAAACUAGUUAUGGUGGGGGAGAUAACUAUGGGGAUAACAAAUAUGGUGAGAAAACUGGCUAUGGAGAAAGUGGAUAUGGAGAGAAAACUAGUUAUGGUGAGGGAGGUAACUAUGGAGAUAGUGGCUAUGAAAAUAAGACUAGCUAUGGAGAUAGUGGCUAUGAAAAUAAGACUAGUUAUGGAGAUAGCGGCUAUGAAAACAAGACUGGCUAUGGAGAUAUUCCAUCUGAUACUACCUAUGGAGAGAAAACUAAUUAUGGUGAAGGAGAUACCUAUGGAAAAGGAGCUGCCUACUCAUCUGAGACCACUAAUUUUGAAGAGACUACUGAUGAAGGCAAAACUGGUGAGGAUUAUGAGAAAGAGAAAAAGCACCACAAGCAUC
This 806-nucleotide long non-coding RNA is filed under the name Nicotiana tabacum (common tobacco). Its description in RNAcentral is "long non-coding RNA (NTAB_LNC004242)". The record is from RNAcentral. Lineage: Eukaryota; Viridiplantae; Streptophyta; Magnoliopsida; Solanales; Solanaceae.